This 65-nucleotide transfer RNA is filed under the name Trachypithecus cristatus (Silvery lutung). Its description in RNAcentral is "tRNA-Thr". It matches the Rfam family "tRNA". From Rfam's summary of the family: Transfer RNA (tRNA) molecules are approximately 80 nucleotides in length. Their secondary structure includes four short double-helical elements and three loops (D, anti-codon, and T loops). Lineage: Eukaryota; Metazoa; Chordata; Mammalia; Primates; Cercopithecidae. The record is from RNAcentral.
GCCCUUGUAGUACAAAUCAGUACACCAGUCUUGUAAACUGGAAAUGGAAAUCUCUCCCUGGGGCA